RNAcentral lists this ribosomal RNA (254 nucleotides) under uncultured bacterium. RNAcentral's name for it is "partial 16S ribosomal RNA". It matches the Rfam family "Bacterial small subunit ribosomal RNA", at positions 524 to 776 of the family's 1533-position model. The record is from RNAcentral.
UACGGAGGGGGCAAGCGUUGUUCGGAAUUACUGGGCGUAAAGGGCGCGUAGGCGGCCUGUGCAAGUAAGAGGUGAAACCCCCGGGCUCAACCUGGGAAUUGCCUUUAAAACUGCUAGGCUUGAGUCCGGAAGAGGAGGGUGGAAUUCCCAGUGUAGCGGUGAAAUGCGUAGAUAUUGGGAAGAACACCAGUGGCGAAGGCGGCCACCUGGUCCGGAACUGACGCUGAGGUGCGAAAGCGUGGGGAGCAAACAGG